UCUGAACUAGAAAUUUUUUACUCUUCUCAAGUAGUCUAUAAAUACCUACCUCCCCAUUAAGGAAGCAGUAGAGUACAGCCACCACCAAGCCCUGUCAAGAGAAAGAACCACAGUAUUAGAAUGUAGAAAGUUAAUUUAACUGGCCCAAUCUAGAACUCCCAGGGCAGGAAAGGCAGAUUUCUCUAUCACGAUACAGUGGAAAGAACAUUGGUUCUGCCAGGGACCUGGGUCUACGUUCUAGCUUUGAUGCUCACUAACUUCCCCAGCUCUCAAUUUCCUCAUCUGUAAAAUGAAAGAAUUGAAUUAGAUCAUUUCUUUGCUUCAUGGAAGCUCUACAUCUAAAAUCCCAUGAUUUGCUAUACUUUCUAAACUUCUAUUUCCUUUGUAAUGGGCUGAGGCUUGAGUUGAUGCACUGAGGUCCUAAGCACGUGAGGCUAAAUAGUAAUUGGACCAUACUCUAUUAAUAUAUAUGCUUGGAGAAAGAAUGACCCCCGCCCAAUCUUUGUGCAAGUCCUGAUGUGUUGUAUAGGAAAUGACGUUUUUGGUGGGUGGAGGCAAGGGAGUGGAAAGGGAAGUGAAAGGAGAGACUGCUGGCUGGCAUCUUGACACAGCUGCUCGUAUUGCUAUUGCAACGGCCUUUCAUCUCCAAUCCCCCUCUGCUAGCUGGCUUCUUGUCGCAGCUGCCCAUAUUGCUAUCGCAGUCCCCCCUCACCUCUACUGAGAAUAAAGAUUGAAGAUUUUCCUCUUAACCUGAAUUCCAGACUCCAGCUGAUUUUAAAUACGUGGUCAUCACAUUUGGCACCCAAGCACGGGAACCAAGGACCCUACUUUCACUGAAGAAGUCUCCAGUGACCAGGAACUUAGAGAGACGGAACAGACCCUUGAAAUGAAGGAGAAGACCCAAGAAAUAUCGGGUGGUUCUGUUGCUGAUUGUGCUCACCAUUGGAAGAGUGUGGCAGUUAUGGCGUUUGACUCAUGGACAUAGAAAAUCAUUGGACUUCAAAACCCUCAGGAAUCAUUGGAUUCUCUGAGACAUGAUAAGAUUGUUGUAGGACUUGAAAACCCUCAGGAAUCAUUGGAUUUUCUGAGACAUAAGAUUGUUGUAGGACUUGAAAACCCUCAGGAAUCAUUGGAUUCUUUGAGACAUAAGACUUGAAAGCCCUCAGGAAUCAUUGGAUUUUCUGAGAAAUGAUAAGACUCUUACAGGACUUCAAAAUCUGCUGGAAUCAUUGGAUUCCCUAACACAUAAAAAGACUUUCGCAGGACUUCAAAAACUUGGGGAGAUCAUUGGAUUCCCUGAUAGAUGAAGCAAUGGACAAUAGAUUGGUUUUGGACUAUCUUUUGGCUGCUGAAGAAGGCAUAUGUAUGACUGCUGUUUACAUACUCUCCUUCUAGGACUUCUGGCAAUCUUUUACAACACCAUGUUGAUUUAUAUUGUUUGUUAUACCGAGACUUGCGUGUACAAUUCAUGUUUGUUACACCACAUCAAGCCUGCACUGACUGUGGGGAGAGUCAUCACUAAUAGCCUGUGUGUUUUUGCUAUGUUCUUGUGUAAUACCUCCCAUGCUGAUGGGUUUGUGCAUAAGACCCUUCAGCCCAGAAACCCGCUAGCAACUCCCACUUCUCUUUGGUGCUUUUCAUUUCCCUUCCUGAGAUGUCAGGGAGGGCGUGAUUAUCUCCUUUUUAGUGUUUUCACCUCCCUUGCUGGGAAGUCAGGGGGGUCGUGAUCAUCUCUCCUUGGGGGCUCUGACCUCCCUGAGGAGUCAGGGAUGGCAUGACCACCUGUGUUCUAAAACAAAAGAAAGCGGGAGAUGUAAUGGGCUGAGGCUUGAGUUGAUGCACUGAGGUCCCAAGCACGUGAGGCUAAAUAGUAAUUGGACCAUACUCUAUUAAUAUAUAUGCUUGGAGAAAGAAUGGCCCCCACCCACUCUUUGUGCAAGUCCUGAUGUGUUGUAGAGAAAAUGACAUUUUUGGUGGAUGGAGGCAGGGGAGUGGAAAGGGAAGUGAAAGGAGAGACUGCUGGCUGGUGUCUUGACUCAGCUAUUCGCAUUGCCAUUGCGAUGACCCUUCAUCUCUGAUCUUUCUCUGCUAGCUGGCUUCCUAUUGCAGCUGCCCAUAUUGCUAUCACAAUUCUACUUGCCCAUAUUGCUAUUGCAAUCCUCCCUCACCUCUACUGAGAAUAAAGAUUGAAGAUUUUUCCCUUAACCUAAAUUCCUGACUCCAGCUGAUUUUAAAUAUGCGGUCAUCACAUCCCUUCAUAAGACAUGAGGCUUCCCCAGGCACAAAACACCUAGUAUAUCAAAUUUCUUUGAGAGACAAUAUGGCUGGUAUCAUGCAUGGAAAGCCAUACUUGGGGGAUCUGGGUUCAAAUCCUAACUCCAACAUGAACUAGCUGUAAGACGCCUGGAAAAAGUCAUUUAACCUUUUAGAGCCUCAGUUUCUUUCUCUUAAAAACAGGAAUAAUAAAAGAUGGAAUAUUUGGAUUAUUGGGUUAUAUAUGUAGAUUUUUGUGUUCUUCACAUAUAUAAAUAAACUUAUUUGUGUCAAUACUCAAA
Antechinus flavipes (yellow-footed antechinus) is the source of this 2555-nucleotide long non-coding RNA. RefSeq lists it as uncharacterized. The record is from RefSeq and is a predicted model, not a curated record. Lineage: Eukaryota; Metazoa; Chordata; Mammalia; Dasyuromorphia; Dasyuridae. The transcript is spliced from 2 exons.